This is a non-coding RNA of Equus caballus (horse), 8891 nucleotides long. The record is from RefSeq and is a predicted model, not a curated record. NCBI's taxonomy places the organism in Eukaryota, Metazoa, Chordata, Mammalia, Perissodactyla, Equidae.
ACAAAAUAGAGGAAGACUGGCACAGAUGUUAGCUCAUGGUCAAUCUUCCUCACCAAGAAAAAAAAACGUUUAAGAUGGAGGUUUUGGGGGGCAGCCACGGGGAAGAAGGAAGGAAAGGAGAUCCUGCCCAUGAAAGGGACACCACAGAAGCUUCUGCAUCAGGGUCAGCCCCCACCCCCAAGCUGAGACUUGGCAUUGCUGACAUGGAUGGCAGAGCCAAGAAGUGACAAAAAAACAAUGAAAUGGGGCUGCCAUCAAUGAGGAAGCAUCGUGCAAUGCCAGCACUUGAUUUGGAAAGUAUUCAUAAGGCUUUCUUGGCUAGGAUGUUUAAGAUAAAAAUAGAAAUAUUCUCAUCAAUGAUUUAUAAGAUUGCUUUAGAGAGAUGGGGCAGAACCCAGUAUAACAAAGAGCAGAAAAGCAGUGUCCUAACUUGUUACUGGGCUGGAGAUCACGGGCCCAGGGUGAGAAAGCUGUGACAGGCGCUCCUUGUCCCUAUCACAGAAAUUAGAGUUGAGAAAAGCUAUCAGUUUAGCUGGUCUGAACCUCAGAACCCCAGCCACUUUUGGAUUCUUCCAACUACAAUUUUAUUCUUCUCUGGGGUUCAUGCCUCCAGAUGCGAUACCUGAAAGUUGUGCAUGUAUUGUGGAGAAUAACAAAAAUAUUAACAAAUUAGCAGCCAAUCAGAUAGGAACAUUCUUCCAAACAGAGAGCAUCUUCUUCGGGAUUCCAUUCUUGGAAGAGGAGGCGAUGGGACCAAGGAAUGAAAUAAGAACAGAUUCAGAAAGAGAAGAAAGUGAGAGAAAACCUUCCCACAAUAAGGUAAGGUCAUUCCACAAUCGUGUGCUGAGCUUAUCAUAAGCCUACUCCUGGAUUCUGUUCAUUUUCAAUCGUGCGCAAAUUGCCUCUAUCUCCUGGACUCUCCAUCGGAAGCAUAUGGGCUGGGAGAGGAAAGUCACUCAUCUCAGACCCGCACCUCAUGCCUGUACCGCUGCCAGGCCCCAGUCCCUGCUGCUGCUGCCGCCUUGUCCUGUGUAAAGCUCUGCAGCCAAUCUUCCUGAAACCCAAAUUUUCAUCAGGUCACUGUCGUAGUGGGGAUAACCUUGUGCCUCUAUUGCCCGGUUAUAGGAUCAAGAUCCUACUCAGGUGGGCAUAUUCAAAGCUCUCCGAUCACACAAUCAGACAAGAGCUUAUGGUGUACACAGGCACUGGGGUGGAGAGGGAACAACAAGGCACAGUCGUCGUGACCUGGAGGAAUGUACAGUCUACUGAGGCUGGGGGUGCGGGAGGAAUCAACCAGUAACUAAUUAAAUCAUGACAGUCUUGCAGAUGGCUAUAAAAAGGACUGAGUAUCUUGGGAGUGUGCAAUGGGUCACCUACCUUAGUCUGUGGAGUCAGGCAACUAAGACUUCCCUGAAGCAGUGAUGCUCAAGGGGAGAUGUGAAAACUGAGUAGCAGUUAGCUAGGAAAAGAAAGGAGCGAAGAUUCCAGAGUGGGGAGCAGGCCCUGAGUGAGCGAGAUCGUGGGACUGUAGAACUUAGUGGGAGCUGGGAGAGCGAGGAUGAGACUGGUACCAGUUAGGGCCGGGGACCCAGGACAGGGGGAAGAAGAGGUGCCAGAAGACAGACUUAGAUGGGGAAGCAGAGGAAACAGGAUAGGGUAUGAGGAUCCUGGAAUCCCAGGCCAACAAGAUUGGGUUCUAUCCUGGAGGCAAUGGGAAGGCUUUGAAGGAGGGAGUUGGCAUGACCAGACCUAAGUUUUAGAAAAUUCAUCCUGUGUGCAGGGUUAAGUGCAUGUGGGUCAGAGAUGGUGAGGUCAAGGGCAAAGAGACCAGCUGGAAGACUACGGCAAUAGUGUAAGUAGGACAGAAUGAGGGCCUGGUGGGGAGGAGGCGAAGAUGUGGCAGAGCGUAGGAAGGCAGAGGGGACUGGACACGUUCAAUUGGGACCACCAGCAUUUGAUGGGGGAUUAGGCUCCUGGGCAAGAAUGUGGUGACCCUAGGAGAGUGUGAAGCAUAAAAAGAAGAAAAAUUCAAGAGUGAGACUGGGGUAAGCCCAGUAUUUAAAGACUGGACAGAGAAAGGACCCAGUCGAGAGGGCUAGUGGGAAGUAGUGGGAGAACAAAGAGAGAACAAUGCAUUUCUCGAAAGAGAAAGAAGAUAUUUCAACGAAGUGGUUAAUAGCAUUUAAACAAAGACUAAAGAAAUAGCUGCUGGAUUUGGCGAAGGAAACCACUGAUGACUUUACUAAGGAUAAUUUUGGUAGUAAAGUGGGAGAGGCAAAAGCCAGAUUUAAGCGUAUUAUAGAACAAAGGAGAAACAAAGAAGUUGAGAAAACAGGGGAAGCCACCUACUGCAGGACCUUUGGUGGGAAAAGCAAGGAGACAAGGCUGCGCCUUAAGAGAAAUGCAUGAUAGCAGGACUGUUUAAAGGAACUGGCCCAUCACUGGAGGGGGUUAGGCAGACUGGACAAACUUGAGGGAUGCCAGAGGAUGGAUUCCUCCAACAGCUGUGGGAGUAAGAGAGAUGACCUCUAAACUCCAUUCCAAAUCUGAGAUUCCAUGCCUUUCUGGAAAAUGAGACACAGCCAAACAGCCAUUUCUACCGUCUGCUUAGAAUUGGGAGCCAGACUUCAGCAUCAGGAUAUCAGGAUGAGAAGGGAGCACUCUCCCGUGUCUCUCGGACAUGAGUCAAGGAGCACAUACAUCUUCCAGAAAGGGGUAUCUGAACUGGAGGUCACGUGGCUCAGGCUAGAGAAAAGGACUCAAGAAGGAGGAAUGGCCAGGAGGUAACCGGUUGCCUCUCCCUAAGAGAACGUCAGCUCCCAGGGGAGGGAGCCAAGGAAAGAGGAUCAGGCUGAAAACAGAUUGCAUAACAGCGGGGCCAACCCACCCUCCUUCCUCUGUGCCUCUUCCCCCAGGACUGAGGCAUUGCUGCCCUAGGCUCACAGCUGACAGGGAAGCAGAGAACACGCUGUGCCUCCACUUCCCCACUACUGGUGGGCACUGGCCUUGCCAGCUGCUGCGGCAGCCUUCCUGGGAGCCAGCAUCUCCACUGCCUAUGCCACCUCAGCUCCCGGCCCAGGAACGCAGAGCAGCGAGGGGAGGAGGAAAGACAGACAGACUGAUGGCAAAAAAAGAAGCACAAGGGAGAGAGAGAGAGAAACAAAGAGAUGCUGUGAACAAUGAGGAAAUAGCCCUCUCUUACUACAGCAUGAGUGAGUGUGUGCAUGUGAGAGAGAGAGAGAGAAAGAGAGAGACCUGGGUUCUACAUCUGACACCCCCCACCCCGACCCCAGCAAAUCCCUUCACCUCUUUGGACAUUAAUUGCCGUAUGUGCAAAAUGAGACAAGUGGAUUAGAAGAUGCCUAAGGUUCCUUUCAGGUUGAAAAUCCUGUGUUUCUCAAAUUCUGCAUCUGUAUAUAUAGAGCACCCCCAGAGGCCAAAAGCAUUAGCAACACAAAGAAAAUACAAUAAACCCCAAUGAGGAGGAUGCACUCACACGUGCGUCCCUGACAAGCACGUGCACACACACGUGCGCACACACAGGAGGGUGGGUGCUAUGUUGAGGGGUGUGCCCAUCAGUGACGAAAGCGGCUGAAGUACAUUGGAACAUUACACACAAAAUCUGUCUGAUCAGUUUCCAGUCAAGCCUCCUUUACAUACUAGUAAAUGCUAAAUCUCAACUAACCUAAAUAUUUGACAAAUGAAUCAUUUUAGAUUGUCAAGCUUUCUAAGUAGCUAAGGAUUUACUCUUCAAAUGAUCAAAACUAGUUUUGAAAGCCACCCCAGAGGGAAAUCUUUGUUUUUUCGUCUUAUAAAUGUUUGAAGCAGACUUUGAGGAAGCUGACUUCACUGUGGGUCCUCGGUGGCACUGGUGGUCUUGCUGCUGUGUCAGACACGCUGCCGCGCUGUGCCCAGGCUGGGCUCACAAAGCGACUAGGCUGCAGGACCAUCCUCCAGCGUCCCCGGGCCUGGGGAGUGGGAAACAGACCACAGAAGCCUUCUGAUCUGGGGAGCAGACAAUGAGGAAGGGCAGGUGUUACUCUGGCUGCUGCCUCGCACCUUCCUCCCACCCCAGAGCUGGACCUGAAGCACAGAACGGGGAGGGAAGAGAGAAAAGCACAUUUUCAAAGGAAGCUGAAGCUGGGGACUAGGUGGCACCUCCUGUUUGGGCAGCUCUGGGCAAACUGGGCCACCACUCAGAGAGGUAAAAGGAGAGUGGGUUUAGGCAGAAAGAUGGGUUUCAACAGAUUUCAUCAAUUCUUUCUCCCUGUCCAUCCUACCUACCUGCAGUGCAGGAGAAUUCCAGAAGCUGUCUGGCUGCAUCCUGGGGUGGGAAAUGCAGGAAGAGCACUGGAAACCAGGGUCAAUCCCGGGUCCCCCGGGUAAGGGUGACAGGUUGUAGGUGGGUGUAGGAGGUGCUGGGACCCAGGGGUUCCCUUGACCAUGACGUCCAGCUGGGAUUGGUGGGCAGAGUAGCCUGCAGCUCCCACUCUGCGGUCCCCAGAAGGGAGAGCAUGGCUACCACACCCCAAGGAGCCCAUCCAGGCGCCCUCCCACUUCGAGGUAUGUCAGGUUCCCCCUACCUCAGAUGCCAUCUUGGCUAGAGGCGAGAGGGGAAGAAAACCCUCCAGAGAUGGAGGAUUUGCCCAUAUAAGACUGGAGGAUGCCGAAAGGAGAGUGGGUGACCUUUACCAAGCACGUUUGGAGUUUUCCCCUCCCCCAGCAUGGCAAAGACUGGGCCCUGGGGCCUGGAGCAAAUGGGUAGAGGAAACAAAGGCCACUGCGUGUUCACCCCUCUCAGUGCAAAGUCCCCAAGUGCUGCUGUGGGUGGUAGCUGGCGAGGCUGGUCCUGGCCCCUCUCCUCACCUGUGCUGCCCCUGCCCGGGGGUCUCUUCCCACCCCUUCCUGAGAGGUCUCACCCCAGGGCUACAGGCCAGCCUGAGAGGAGGGCAGGGCUGCGAGAGGCCAGAAAGAUGCUGGGGCAGGGAGGGUGUCAGCACCCGGGCAGCCGGCUGGAGGCCAAGAGACAAGGCCCACCGCCUCCCUCAGAAGAGGGAAGGCUGGCUCCUUCCUGAGGCACCAGACGCCUUCAGGCCAGCCUCAGACUUAACCUGUAAGAGGUGAGGGGCCAGAGAAGGACUCAGGCACCCCCAAAACUUUUUCCCAACAAAGUCUUCUGGAUGAGAAUCUGUUUCCAAGACAAGGAUUGAAAAAUGCAAGCGGCUGUGAGGAACAUUCAGGCAAAGGGUGAGUGAGCCUGGAAGGAGGCAGGGAUUGUCCUCUGGGCAGGGCUGGGGAGGAGGAUCCGGCCUGGAGCCUGCACAGGUGUGUGGACCCAACAAAGACUGGGCCACAGGCCUCCUGUACCUCCUCCGCCAACAGCCCAAGCCCAAUGUGACUGCCAGUAAGACAGCAGCCCAGAGGACCCCCUGGUGAUGGCCUUCAGAGUCCCUCUGAGCCCUCAGGUGCCUCUGGCCUGAUGCUCAGGAGACCCCUAACUCUACUCACCACAAGCCCUAACAGGCCCCACAGCCAUUGUCAUGACAGUUCUCCAAACUAUGUGGACACGCACACACGCAUACACUCACUGACACACAGAUGCACACCAGGACAACCAGCACUCAGGAUAAGGGUCCUCACUUAGGGUCUGGACACCCUCUUUUGUCCCCAGUCAUUUAAUUAAUAGAUUCUGAAUGGUGUGAAAAUACCAACACCCUCAGGUCCUGCCAUCCCCUAGUGGUUGCAAGGGUCCUGCGUGUUCUUUCACAGCUGAAAAUUAGAUUUUUAUCAUCAUCAUAACCACCAUGAGAGCCAGGGGGAGCUGUAGAGAGAACCCAAAUGUCGACCGCACAGAUGGGUGUGGGCCCUUGUCAGGAGCAGCAAGGAUCCGGCCCAAGGAGAGAUGCUCAUGAGACUACGAGUCAAAGCUGGGAAGGGGAGACUGGAACUACGACCAAGGCUCAGCUCAUCCAGUCUGCACACAGAGAUGCUCCUGAGUCAAAAGGGCAGAGGAGGGGAGAGCAGGGAAACUCAUGCUCUGCCCAAUAGGGCCGAGGGCACCUGGCGCCCGCUCAACAGCUGUAAGGGUUCAGAGUAGCAGAGAUCAGGGCUACUGCAGUGGGAGAGGUAACUUUCCAAAAGAGGUGGCACUGAGCAGAGCCACCAAGGCGGGGCAGGACUUGUUCUGAAGAGAGCUGACAGCACAGCAUAAGGAUGAAAUAAGUGAGCCGUGGAAUCAGCCAGCCUGAUUUUGAAUUUUCGCUCUGUCACUUCCUGGGUGUGUGACCCUGGGAAAGACACCUAACCUCUCUGAUCUUUCAGUGGCCUGGUAUGUAAAAUGCCAAUGCCUCUCUAUCAGGAUGCAGAGAGGAGGAACUAAGCCUGCAAAGGGGCUGGGCUGUAGUAAGCAGCAGGUAGCCUAGGGUAAGGGUAAACAAAGGCGCAGACACGGAACCGAAGACAAGUGCAUGCAUAGGGCCAGGGGCCAGAGGAUGAGGAUGGCUGUGGACAGCCCAGAGGGCCAGGCCCCAGAACGGAGGGGCACCAAGGCUGGAUGAGGCCUGGAGGGGGCCGCCUCUGAGGCCCCGUCUCUGAAGAAGCUGCAGCCGUGGAGGUGGCAGCCCUGCCAAACAGGUUGUCAGUCCAGCCCUUCGGGGGCUUUCUUCCCAUGGUGGUGACUCUGACAGGGAAAUCAGCAGGCUAGCCAUGCGGGCCUGGGCAGCACAACAGACAAGGCCCUAGGGACAGCUUAAGUGGACAAUAAUUGCAGGUUAUUAUAUACCGGGCUGCAGCCAAAGCCAGGCAGCUAUUAAGUGUGAUUGGGAGAAAUAAUCAAGAGGAGGAGGAUGGAUGUGAGAACUGGGUUGCUCCUUCUGUUCUCAGGGCUGCUCUGAGGCUGUGCAGGGGCUGUGCAGAGGCAAGGAUGGGGUACAUAGGGAGAGGAGCCGAUCUACACUCUAAACACCCUACAUUCCAGGCACAAUUCCUUCUGAUCCUCCCCAGUCCCCACAGGUUGUACAGAGCAAGGAUUACCAUCCCCAUCUCAUGAAUCAGAGAAUGAAGUCCAGAGAGGGGAAGCGGGUGACCCAAGGGCACACAGCGAGUCUCUCCUGAGUCCGGUCUGAGACCAAAUUGAGCCCUCUCUGUUGUUGGUGGCCACAGAAGUGACUCCUGGCACAAAACCCCAUCAGGACCUGGCUCUGCCCUCAGUGGGGGUCAUCUCCAAACCAGGACUGGGAGCAGUCAUUAAAACCCAGAAGGGGCACAGAUCCCACCGUGUGGACACCAGCUCAUGGGUCAGGACAAGGGCAAGAGACCAGGAAACAGAGGAGGGGGCAGGUUUGUAACAAUACGAUUGGUUAUUUCUUAGAGCUUUAUAUAGUCAUUAGAGACCUCUCUAGGACAGAAGGAGAAUUUUAUGCCCAUUUUAUAGAUGAGGAUACAGAAACCAAGACUUGUUUCAGGCUUGGUGGUGAUGCCAUCAAUAGGAGGGCCCAUGUGGAAACUGCUGGUCUAGGGGCUUGUAGACACACCCCACAUCUAUCUAUUGGAGAUGACCUUGGCAAAGGUGACCCUUACUCUGCUCUCUGCCGUGAAGCCAGGAGAACUUGUGGUUUUAUCCCUGCUAGCCGGAGUUUCUCACUUCAUCAGUACCAGAGGUGGUUCUUCUCUUUCUGGGCCAAGGAUGGCAUGAGGUUGAGCCCCAAGGGGUGACAUUGCCCUUGUAUGAUGUGUGGAUCACAUAACUUCCUACCGCCCACUCCUCGGCUCCUCCAAGCCCACCACUCAUUUUCGAAACAAGGAUGAGGCACCCUCGUCCUUGAAGCACAAACACCUUGAGCAUCUUCAAGGAGAUUCCCAGCGACCAAACCACCCCCUUCAUGAUCUCCUGGAGGCAAUUUUACAGGGAGAGCCCUACUCUGAUGGGGACACCAAUGGAGGCCAGGAAGGGAACAUAUAUGUCUACCACUGACUCCUGCACACACCGCACCCCAGCAGACGUCAAGGAAAGUCAUACACAAGGCUCAGGGCCACCCUCAAGGUUCUGUCAGCCUGCCCCUCCCUCCUGGGAUUGCCUCUCCCAGCCAGGCCUCCCCAGUCUGGGUCUGGAAAUGACCCUGCUUUGGGUCACAUGAGAGCAGAAACCUGGCGCAGGGAGGGAUCAAUUACAUUGUGACUCAGCGAGAGGGCACAGAGCCAGGCAGUGAGUCACAGAGCUCGCCCACCCUUCCCCUUCCCCGGGAGGGGCUGCGCCAUGCAGACCUGUGUGGGAGCCUCCCCUGGGUCUGGGCGUGCAGAUGUAUGGGUGCAGGCCCCCCAACAGUGGGAAGGCGAUGGUCGGUGUGCGCUACGGUGUGGACCCCUUCCUAAUCCUGAAUGCAGGAAUUUAUUACCUCUUCAUGACGAUCACAGGCAAUGUUAUCAUGCCCAUGUUUCGGAUGACGAAGCUGAGGCUCUCAGAGCAGGACUCCUAUGGCCAGCUUCGUAGCCACCGCCUCCUGGUCAAGCUCUUGUCAGCAUCCAGCUCCUGGGUGAGUGAGCAGGAGGGGUCCACUCAAGGAGGUGAGUCUGAGGCCCCCAGAUAACACCUCUUUGAAGAUCUAGCCUAGUGUAAAUGUCCUGCAGUCUCAUCGUCUUGAGCCCCUGUCCAGUUGGGUUCUUCCUGUCCCAUCCAGCCACCUCAUUCCUUCAUGUCACCUGCACAGCCUGUGGACACUGAGUUUCUUAACCCCAGCACGAUCUGAAGGAUUGCGUGUUAGACUGAGGAGGUCUGGCAGCGGCAGCUGGGAAAAUUAAAACUAGAGAGCCCUGUAGAAGCUGUGGAUCCAGCAUCAUUAUCAGCGAAAUUGUGGCUGUGAUAAAGCAACGUUUACCUACAGCAUUGUGUGUGU